Lates calcarifer (barramundi perch) is the source of this 696-nucleotide long non-coding RNA. RefSeq lists it as uncharacterized. Lineage: Eukaryota; Metazoa; Chordata; Actinopteri; Centropomidae. The record is from RefSeq and is a predicted model, not a curated record. The transcript has 3 exons.
AAGAUCACAGGACAAUAAAAAGUUUUUUCUUGAACUGUAAUAGCACUUGUUGUUUGUAGACAUGAUGUGUCUCUUUGUCUCCACUGUUUCUUAUUCCAUCUCUUGUCUCCUUGUCUCUGCACUUGAAGAUGGCAGACAGUGAAACUCUGCUGACCACACUGAGUUACAUUAUUGAACCAUGACAGUAAGACACAGCUGUGGCACCAAACAGACAGAGGUAAUAAUCAGAGAGAACAGUUCAUGUUCAUCAACACACAGCUGCUGUGUGGAGUUUUACACAGAAAACAACAGAGACAGAUGUUCACAUCUUAAACCACCAGAGACAAUGCUCUGAGAAACAUUUGAAACUUCUGAAUGUGUAGAGAUUCAUUCAGCUUCCAUCAGCCUGAUUGGAAACAGAGCACAGCAAGAGGAGGAGCUACACAACUGAAUAUGAAAGGCUUCAUUUUGGAACUGAAGAGCUGCUGUGUUCUCUCUAUUCUUCAUUCAGGACAAGUCAAAUGAUGCUACUGCUUUUAGUUUGGAUGAUGAUAGUCUCCUUUCAUACUGGAUCCUCUGAGGAUUUAGUGAAACCAUCUAAAGAUGUAAUGAUGGCUUUGGAAGGAGACACUGUGACUCUCUCCUGCAGCUAUUCUCAGUCUGUACAAAACCUCUACUGGUAUCAACAGAAGUCCAGUUCAUCUCCACAGCUUCUCA